RNAcentral lists this long non-coding RNA (208 nucleotides) under Mytilus galloprovincialis (Mediterranean mussel). The record is from RNAcentral. Lineage: Eukaryota; Metazoa; Mollusca; Bivalvia; Mytilida; Mytilidae.
GGCCGGUUCAGUCAAAUCAUUUCAGAAUCAUAAUUUGGUCUGCUGAUAUCCUUAUCGCGAUGAACAAUUGGAGCAUGGCAAGACCGCACAAUCUCUCGCCACUAUGCAUGCUCUUUUCCAAGUUUUCAGUUGUUUCAGGGCAGUCUGUGCUUCUAAAGGUAGCACAUCAUCAUCAACACAAUGAUCAAUGUCUUCUUCCAAUUUCUUU